UACGUAGGGGGCGAGCGUUGUCCGGAUUUAUUGGGCGUAAAGGGCGUGUAGGCGGCCUGGUAAGUCGGUGGUGAAAGCCCAGGGCUCAACCCUGGUCGUGCCGCCGAUACUGUUGGGCUUGAGUGCUCUAGAGGGCAGUGGAAUUCCCGGUGUAGCAGUGAAAUGCGUAGAGAUCGGGAGGAACACCAGUGGCGAAGGCGACUGCCUGGGGAGUAACUGACGCUGAGGCGCGAAAGCUAGGGGAGCGAAC
RNAcentral lists this ribosomal RNA (250 nucleotides) under uncultured bacterium. RNAcentral describes it as "partial 16S ribosomal RNA". It matches the Rfam family "Bacterial small subunit ribosomal RNA", at positions 524 to 773 of the family's 1533-position model. The record is from RNAcentral.